This 132-nucleotide small RNA is filed under the name Pantoea agglomerans. RNAcentral's name for it is "RtT RNA". It matches the Rfam family "RtT RNA". From Rfam's summary of the family: This family represents a bacterial cis-regulatory element known as RtT RNA. The record is from RNAcentral. Lineage: Bacteria; Pseudomonadati; Pseudomonadota; Gammaproteobacteria; Enterobacterales; Erwiniaceae.
UUUUCGUCUGAAGAAAAGAGGAUGAGGACCUCCGAAGGAGGUUUGAGCCGAGCGUAGCGAGACAACGUUGCUUCAGCAACGGCCCGAAGGGCGCUGCUCGCAGAGCAGAGUCAUCCUCUCUCUCGCCGACCA